AGAAUCAACGCUGGCGGCGUGCCUAACACAUGCAAGUCGAACGAGAAAGUGGAGCAAUCCAUGAGUAAAGUGGCGCACGGGUGAGUAACACGUGACUAACCUACCCUUGAGUGGGGAAUAACUUCGGGAAACCGAGGCUAAUACCGCAUAACACCUACGGGUCAAAGGAGCAAUUCGCUUAAGGAGGGGGUCGCGGCAGAUUAGUUAGUUGGCGGGGUAAUGGCCCACCAAGACAGUGAUCUGUAUCCGGCCUGAGAGGGCGCACGGACACACUGGAACUGAAACACGGUCCAGACUCCUACGGGAGGCAGCAGUGGGAAUUUUGCGCAAUGGGGGAAACCCUGACGCAGCAACGCCGCGUGGAGGAUGAAGUCUCUUGGGACGUAAACUCCUUUCGAUCGGGACGAUAAUGACGGUACCGAGAGAAGAAGCCCCGGCUAACUUCGUGCCAGCAGCCGC
RNAcentral lists this ribosomal RNA (459 nucleotides) under uncultured bacterium. RNAcentral describes it as "SSU rRNA". It matches the Rfam family "Bacterial small subunit ribosomal RNA", at positions 26 to 518 of the family's 1533-position model. The record is from RNAcentral.